GCGUGUCUGAAGAAGGCCUUCGGGUGUAAAGGACUUUGUCAGGAGCAAACUUACUGGUUAAUACCUGGUGAGGUUGAGAGUACCUGAAGAAUAAGCACCGGCUAACUACGUGCCAGCAGCCGCGGUAAUACGUAGGGUGCAAGCGUUAAUCGGAAUUACUGGGCGUAAAGCGUGCGCAGGCGGACUUUUAAGCCAGAUGUGAAAGCCCCGAGCUUAACUUGGGAAUUGCGUUUGGAACUGGGGAGUCUAGAGUCUGUCAGAGGGGGGAUGGAAUUCCACGUGUAGCAGUGAAAUGCGUAGAGAUGUGGAGGAACACCGAUGGCGAAGGCAGUCCCCUGGGAUAAGACUGACGCUCAUGCACGAAAGCGUGGGGAGCAAACAGGAUUAGAUACCCUGGUAGUCCACGCCCUAAACGAUGUCUACUAGUUGUUGGGGUAGCAAUACCUCAGUGACGCAGCUAACGCGUGAAGUAGACCGCCUGGGU
This 484-nucleotide ribosomal RNA is filed under the name uncultured bacterium. Its description in RNAcentral is "bacterial SSU rRNA". It matches the Rfam family "Bacterial small subunit ribosomal RNA", at positions 399 to 878 of the family's 1533-position model. The record is from RNAcentral.